This 103-nucleotide long non-coding RNA is filed under the name Astyanax mexicanus (Mexican tetra). Its description in RNAcentral is "lncRNA (ENSAMXG00005001384.1)". Lineage: Eukaryota; Metazoa; Chordata; Actinopteri; Characiformes; Acestrorhamphidae. The record is from RNAcentral.
CCCCCCGGCGCAGACCCGGCCUGCCCCCGCCCCGCGCCCCCAGCCCUCAGCCUCUGGAACACACUGGUGCAGAGGAGAACAUGGCCACAGUAUGAGGACAAUG